GCCCGCGUGGUGAAAUGGUAGACACACGAGACUUAAAAUCUCCUGCCCUUCGGGCGUGCCGGUUCGAGUCCGGCCGCGGGCACCA
Molecule: transfer RNA, 85 nt
Filed under: Limimaricola variabilis
Lineage: Bacteria; Pseudomonadati; Pseudomonadota; Alphaproteobacteria; Rhodobacterales; Paracoccaceae
Description: tRNA-Leu
Rfam family: tRNA
About the family: Transfer RNA (tRNA) molecules are approximately 80 nucleotides in length. Their secondary structure includes four short double-helical elements and three loops (D, anti-codon, and T loops). Further hydrogen bonds mediate the characteristic L-shaped molecular structure. tRNAs have two regions of fundamental functional importance: the anti-codon, which is responsible for specific mRNA codon recognition, and the 3' end, to which the tRNAs corresponding amino acid is attached (by aminoacyl-tRNA synthetases). tRNAs cope with the degeneracy of the genetic code in two manners: having more than one tRNA (with a specific anti-codon) for a particular amino acid; and 'wobble' base-pairing, i.e. permitting non-standard base-pairing at the 3rd anti-codon position.
Source: RNAcentral